Molecule: ribosomal RNA, 253 nt
Filed under: uncultured bacterium
Lineage: Bacteria
Description: partial 16S ribosomal RNA
Rfam family: Bacterial small subunit ribosomal RNA
Source: RNAcentral
UACGUAGGGUGCGAGCGUUAAUCGGAAUUACUGGGCAUAAAGCGUGCGCAGGCGGUUGUGUAAGACAGAUGUGAAAUCCCCGGGCUCAACCUGGGAACUGCAUUUGUGACUGCACAGCUGGAGUGCGGCAGAGGGGGAUGGAAUUCCGCGUGUAGCAGUGAAAUGCGUAGAUAUGCGGAGGAACACCGAUGGCGAAGGCAAUCCCCUGGGCCUGCACUGACGCUCAUGCACGAAAGCGUGGGGAGCAAACAGG